RNAcentral lists this non-coding RNA (45 nucleotides) under Schistosoma haematobium. The record is from RNAcentral. Lineage: Eukaryota; Metazoa; Platyhelminthes; Trematoda; Strigeidida; Schistosomatidae.
AUCCAGCUGUCGAGUCCCGAAUAGGACGAAACGUGCGUUCUGAAC